GCUUAUGGUCAUACCAGCCUGAGUAUGUCUGAUCUCAGAAGCUAACUGGGCUUGGGCCUGGUUAAUACUUGGAUGGGAGACCUCCUGGAAAGACCAAGAGCUGUAAGCU
RNAcentral lists this ribosomal RNA (109 nucleotides) under Electrophorus electricus (electric eel). The record is from RNAcentral. Lineage: Eukaryota; Metazoa; Chordata; Actinopteri; Gymnotiformes; Gymnotidae.